This 492-nucleotide ribosomal RNA is filed under the name uncultured bacterium. RNAcentral describes it as "partial 16S ribosomal RNA". It matches the Rfam family "Bacterial small subunit ribosomal RNA", at positions 29 to 507 of the family's 1533-position model. The record is from RNAcentral.
AGUGAACGCUGGCGGUAGGCCUAACACAUGCAAGUCGAACGGCAGCACAGUAAGAGCUUGCUCUUACGGGUGGCGAGUGGCGGACGGGUGAGGAAUACAUCGGAAUCUACUUUUUCGUGGGGGAUAACGUAGGGAAACUUACGCUAAUACCGCAUACGACCUACGGGUGAAAGCAGGGGAUCUUCGGACCUUGCGCGAUUGAAUGAGCCGAUGUCGGAUUAGCUAGUUGGCGGGGUAAAGGCCCACCAAGGCGACGAUCCGUAGCUGGUCUGAGAGGAUGAUCAGCCACACUGGAACUGAGACACGGUCCAGACUCCUACGGGAGGCAGCAGUGGGAAAUAUUGGACAAUGGGCGCAAGCCUGAUCCAGCCAUACCGCGUGGGUGAAGAAGGCCUUCGGGUUGUAAAGCCCUUUUGUUGGGAAAGAAAAGCAGCAGGUUAAUACCCCGCUGUUCUGACGGUACCCAAAGAAUAGGCACCGGCUAACUUCGUG